AACGAACGCUGGCGGCAUGCCUAACACAUGCAAGUCGAACGAGACCUUCGGGUCUAGUUGCGCACGGGUGCGUAACGCGUGGGAACCUGCCCUUAGGUUCGGAAUAACUCCCCGAAAGGGGUGCUAAUACCGGAUAAUGUCUUCGGACCAAAGAUUUAUCGCCCUUGGAUGGGCCCGCGUUGGUUUAGCUAGUUGGUAGGGUAAAAGCCUACCAAGGCGACGAUCCAUAGCUGGUCUGAGAGGAUGAUCAGCCACACUGGGACUGGGAAACGGCCCAGACUCCUACGGGAGGGAGCAGUGGGGGAUAUUGGACAAUGGGCGAAAGCCUGAUCCAGCAAUGGCGCGUGAGUGAUGAAGGCCUUAGGGUUGUAAAGCUCUUUUACCCGGGAUGAUAAUGACAGUACCGGGAGAAUAAGCUCCGGCUAACUCCGUG
Molecule: ribosomal RNA, 433 nt
Filed under: uncultured bacterium
Lineage: Bacteria
Description: partial 16S ribosomal RNA
Rfam family: Bacterial small subunit ribosomal RNA
Source: RNAcentral